RNAcentral lists this ribosomal RNA (282 nucleotides) under Triticum aestivum (bread wheat). Its description in RNAcentral is "partial small subunit ribosomal RNA". The record is from RNAcentral. Lineage: Eukaryota; Viridiplantae; Streptophyta; Magnoliopsida; Poales; Poaceae.
AUGUCGAAGCCGCUGCGCGGGCCCAGGAAGCGGGCGAGGAGAGGCCUGUGGUCGCCGGAGGAGGACGCUAAGCUGAGGAACUACAUUGCCAAGUACGGCCACGGCUGCUGGAGUUAUCUCCCAAGGCUAGCAGGCAUCAAAAGGUGUGGAAAGAGCUGCAGGCUGAGAUGGUUGAACUACCUGAGGCCGGACCUGAAGCGGGGCGCUCUCUCUCAGGACGAGGAGGAUGCCAUCAUUCGACUCCACUCCAUCUUAGGCAACAGGUACGUGAUGGACUGCUAG